CAAAGUGUAGCUUAACUAAAGCCUUUCGCUUACACCGAAAAAACACCUGUUUAAACCCAGGUCACUUUGA
RNAcentral lists this transfer RNA (70 nucleotides) under Mantidactylus grandidieri (Grandidier's Madagascar frog). RNAcentral describes it as "partial tRNA-Val". It matches the Rfam family "tRNA". From Rfam's summary of the family: Transfer RNA (tRNA) molecules are approximately 80 nucleotides in length. Lineage: Eukaryota; Metazoa; Chordata; Amphibia; Anura; Mantellidae. The record is from RNAcentral.